CUCACCCGGCACCUGCGUCCACUCUCUAGCGUCCCAAGUGAGUGGAGGGGGGAUCCCGACUCCAGUCCGGGGCCUUGGCCAGCGGAGCCGCGCUGUUCGGAAGCGGGAAUCCCACUAAGAGCCCGGGCCUGUAGGGGCGGGGCGUCCCGGGCACCCGGGAUUGGGGCGUCUCCCGUCGUGCACCGGGGCACCGGCGACUCACCCGGAAGGAGAAGCCGUGAUCUGGCUAUAUGGUGGGGCGCGGGCGGUGUCGCUGUGGGGAGCUGGUGCUGUUCUCAGAUGUUUCCUUCCAAUGGGCUUUUCGUGUAGGAUGUCGGAGAACCAAGAACAGGAGGUAAGAGUGUGGUCUCCAGAGAACAGGUGGGUAAAAGUUGGAGAGGGGAUUUAGGAGGAAAGAGGACACAGAGAUGCAAAUCAUUAAUCAUUACCUGCAGUAUUACUUUGGUGGUUCUGAUGAACUCAGAAUAAAGUCAGGAGAAAGAAAUCAAUAGCAGAGGCAUUCCUAGGAAAUGGGGUUCCAUUCUGACUAAAUUUUCCUUUGAUUGGAAUAUACUGGAAUGUAAGCUUCAUGGGGGCAGGGACUUACGUCUCUUGUUCAUGCUUUAUCCCCAGUGCCUAGAACAGUGUCUGACACAUAGUGGGGCUCAGUAAAAAUUUGUUGAAUUGAGUGACUGAAUUGAGUGAAUGAAAGUUGAAUUG
RNAcentral lists this small RNA (699 nucleotides) under Pongo abelii (Sumatran orangutan). RNAcentral describes it as "retained intron". Lineage: Eukaryota; Metazoa; Chordata; Mammalia; Primates; Hominidae. The record is from RNAcentral.